This 454-nucleotide ribosomal RNA is filed under the name uncultured bacterium. RNAcentral describes it as "bacterial SSU rRNA". It matches the Rfam family "Bacterial small subunit ribosomal RNA", at positions 340 to 786 of the family's 1533-position model. The record is from RNAcentral.
UACGGAAGGCAGCAGUGGGGAAUAUUGCACAAUGGGCGCAAGCCUGAUGCAGCCAUGCCGCGUGUAUGAAAAAGGCCUUCGGGUUGUAAAGUACUUUCAGUCGUGAGGAAGGUGUUAAGGUUAAUAACCUUAGCAAUUGACGUUAGCGACAGAAGAAGCACCGGCUAACUCCGUGCCAGCAGCCGCGGUAAUACGGAGGGUGCGAGCGUUAAUCGGAAUUACUGGGCGUAAAGGGCACGCAGGCGGUUAAUUAAGUUGGAUGUGAAAUCCCCGGGCUUAACCUGGGAAUGGCAUUCAAGACUGGUUAGCUAGAGUCUUGUAGAGGGGGUAGAAUUCCAUGUGUAGCGGUGAGAUGCGUAGAGAUGUGGAGGAAUACCGGUGGCGAAGGCGGCCCCUGGGACAAAGACUGACGCUCAUGUGCGAAAGCGUGGGGAGCAAACGAGGAUUAGAUACC